This 6634-nucleotide long non-coding RNA is filed under the name Lynx pardinus (Iberian lynx). The record is from RNAcentral. Lineage: Eukaryota; Metazoa; Chordata; Mammalia; Carnivora; Felidae.
UCUUGGGGCUCCUUUGUUAGAGCCCCAGUAAAGGUUGCCGUAACUUCCGAUCCAAAGCGGAGGUGUUCCUGCAGCUGCCCCUUCUGGGAUGAGGGGCAGUUCUUGAGUCUGGGGGCCUCUGAGGCGCUGCUCCGGACCAGCAUGCACCUGCUUCUUUUUGUCGCACCAGUCCUGUGUCUCCGUACCUCUCCGGCUGCCGGGUCUGUGGCCUCGCAGCCCGAGUCAGGUGUCCUGGGUAGCUUGAGGACACGGGGCUGGGCAGGUGCCGAGAGCCUGCGCCUGGCCCCGUCCUGCUGGGCUGAGCCACUAGGCGCCUGGAGCGAGGAGCCUCCGGGAGACUAUGAGCGGGAGGGUCGCCUGCUCGGCUCUCGCCUACGCCUUCUGCUCCAAUUGCUUUCCUAAUCGAGCGGAAAAGCCGGGGGCGUGUUGCCGGGGCCCCAGAACGCUAGCGGGCUCGGCAGUGCAGCCUGAAGUCCGCGGGUGGACCUUCCCGCCCACGGGUCGUGCUGUCACUCGCCCUGCAGCCCCCAGCCAGCCAGAGGGCACCCCACACUGGCGUCAUAGGGUAAAGGGACCAGAGGCAGCUGAAUGACCAUGACCGCAGGCUUUACAGAGGCUUUCAGUGCAACAGGGGCUUGCGCUGGGAAGUUCCCCUCGCUUACAAUUCUGCAACUAUCCAUAAACAGCUACAUCCCGAUGUGUGCUAGGCAUUGGGAGUUACAGGGCUUGAGUCAGCAGCCCUAAGAAGGCUUGGAAGUGGGGGUAUGUGUCUGAGUGUGUGUGUGUGUGUGUGUGUGUGUAGAAACUAACCGAGCACCUAGUGCAGUGUCUGGCAACCAGUAAACCUUGGCUGAAUGAAUGAGAAGGUAAGUGGCUGAGGGAGCAGGGCUAGAGAGGGCAGCUCUGUUUUAUCCCACCCCUGCCUCCCCUGGGCUCAGUCAGACAAAAGUAAUUAGGUUGAGCCUUUAAUCACAGCUGGUUUCACAGGCAGGCGGACAAGGAAGAUCGGAGAAAGGCAGAAAUUCUAGGGACACAGCGUGCUGGCUUAUGGGCAGUGCCUCCCUCUGGGACCCCCUCCAGCCCCCACAGAUUCUCCGACAGUAAUCUCCUGUUUUCUUGUCUCCCUCAGGACACUGGGUUCCCUACGAGCUGCCCCAGGCUUAAUGAUUGUCCAGAAGGUGGCUAUAAAGGGAGCCUGGGAGGCUGGGUGGAGGAGGGAACAGAGAAAGCCUAACUCAGCAGAUCUGGUCACUGAGAGAGCCACAGGCAGGAGCUGUGGUCGGAGGCUUCGUGUCUUGGCCAGUGGGGCCUGCUCCCUUCCACCAUGGCCGCCCAAGGCUACGGCUAUUACCGCGCUGUGAUCUUCUCAGCCAUGUUUGGAGGCUACAGCCUGUACUACUUCAACCGCAAGACCUUCUCCUUUGUCAUGCCAUCGUUGGUGGAGGAGAUCCCUCUGGACAAGGACGACUUGGGUGAGCCACGGAAGGGCAGGGUGGUGGGCCCUGGGACCCAGGACCCGUAGGACAAGUUGGUGUUGGUGGCAGUGUUGUGCAUAAAGGCACGUAGCGUGUGUGGAGCGUCUGCACAGUGGAGGGUAGGGAGAGUCGGCACACGCCGACCGGACUCUGAAAACCAUACGCCUGGCUGUGGGCUAAGCACCAGGAGUGUCGUCGAUACGCGUCUGAGGAGGGCUGCCUAUGUGAUGUGUCUUUGUGUGCCUGUGACCCACACGUGCCCCCACAGGUCUGGCUUAUUCCGAGUAUGUUUAGGGGGCUUCUGGGCAUGGUUUCCACACCUCGUGGGUGCGUGCUAAGACCACAGGGUGCACGCUGGCCACUGACGUCGUAAGCAAUGGGAACUGGAGACUUGGCACAGAAACUUCACGUGGCCCCGCACGCUACAUUUCAGGGGGAAUAACGUCCUUGAUUCCAAUUCUAAGCUCUUUGCCCCAUGCCCAGAGGUGGGGGUGACGGAACUGCUAGAAGCCCUGGGUCGGCAUCCAGGGUGAGGAGGAAAUGUAAUCAGGCAUGGGUAGAUCCCAGGGUGGGGCUGCCCUGUUCUCCCCUUCUUGCCCCCUGACAGCUGCAGCUGGAACUCUCCAGGUUGAAAAGUCAAGGGUCAGCCUGGGGCUAGCGCCGGCGGUGAGGAGGGGUAGCGGCGCCCCUGAAAGGGUGCUGGGAUUCCAACACAGGCUGCUUCUGGUCCCCUUGGAAGGAACCUAUCUCACCCUGCCAGGCACCUCUACACACGUGACCCCAUGCCUUCCUCCAUCCCUCCUGUGCCCUUGCCCUGGCCCCUAACCCCCUAGGUGUGCUGCUUCCUGCUCCCCUCCCCUGCAGGGCUCAUCACCAGCAGCCAGUCGGCAGCCUACGCCAUCAGCAAGUUUGUGAGCGGGGUGCUGUCUGACCAGAUGAGUGCCCGCUGGCUCUUCUCUUCUGGGCUGCUUCUGGUCGGCCUGGUCAACGUAGUCUUUUCCUGGAGCUCCAUGGUACCUGUCUUUGCUGCUCUCUGGUUCCUCAAUGGCCUGGCACAGGGGCUGGGCUGGCCUCCCUGUGGGAAGAUCCUGCGGAAGGUGAGUGUCUGCUCCCAAGAAGCCAGUUGAGACUGGCCGAGGGGAUACCUACAGGGCAUGUGGGAGUACCAGCACUCCCAUCCCCGAGCGGGUUCCUCGGGAGUUCCAGUCCAACUCCUGUUGCUCGUCGAGAUAUUUUAGGAGCUAAACAUGGUGGGAUCAGGUGGCAGAUGAGGGAAUUGGCCCUGCCAAGUAGAGGCGCCCUCUUCCUCGUCCCUGUAAUGUGAGCUUCUAGGUCUGCCCCUGCCCCACCUGACCCUCACCUUCAACAUGUUUAAUGUGGGCACCUACUCUGAACCCUCUGCCCCACAGUGGUUUGAGCCAUCUCAGUUUGGCACCUGGUGGGCCAUUCUGUCAACCAGCAUGAACCUGGCUGGAGGGCUGGGCCCUAUCCUGGCAACCAUCCUCGCCCAGAGCUAUAGCUGGCGCAGCACGCUGGCCCUGUCUGGGGCGCUCUGUGUAGUUGUCUCCUUCCUCUGUCUCCUGCUCAUCCACAAUGAACCCGCUGACGUUGGGCUCCGGAACCUGGACCCCGCCCCCUCCAAGGACAAGAAGGGUGAGCACGCACCCAGGCCGAAUCACUGGGGCACCUUCAUCCACCAUUCAUUUGGCAGACUUUCAUUGAGGUCUGGCUGUAUGCCUGGCCCUGUGCUAGCCGAUGGAGGCAGGGGGAGGGAUGGUGGUGGCAAGUUGGUGGGGAGUAAAUAAAACUCCGUUCCAAGAGACACUUAAGUACCAGACAAGCGGCAGAGCCAACAAAUGCUGUGUGACUCAUGUUAUAUCCCGGUCCUUCCUCACAGCAGAGCCAGACUUCCCUGUCCUGUCCUGGACAGCAUCCUAAGCUUAAGUGGCUUGGGUGCCUUCCUCCAUGUGCCCUGGUCCCGGUUUCAUUUGCUGAGGCCUGUAGUGGAGGGGACAGGGUAGAACAGUGGGUGAAGGGGUGCCUUCCUGCUGGUCCCUGGCUGUGUGGAUGGACUGUGGCCCUGUGGCUGGUUAAUGAGUGGUGGGGGCUCAGUCGGGGCAGAGCAGCAAGAGUGGAGCCUCAGGCCUGGCCUCCUCCUGCCCCCAGGCUCCUCGAAGGAGGAGAGUACUCUACAGGAGCUGCUGCUGUCCCCCUACCUGUGGGUACUCUCCACGGGCUACCUCGUGGUAUUUGGAGUAAAGACCUGCUGUACUGACUGGGGCCAGUUCUUCCUCAUCCAGGAGAAAGGACAAUCCGUCCUCGUGGGUAAGAUGAGUUUGGAACAGGGGUGGGCCUAGGGAGCAGGAGUCAAUGAAAGGGAUGGGAAGUUCAGGCCCAGCUUCUCUUUAUCCCUUCCUUCUUUCCCUGAGGCCAGGCACUACUCAGACAGCUGUGGUCGGUCACCCUUGGGGACCCUGUACCUCUCUGGGUUUAAGCCAGUCUGGGACAACCCCAGUGUGUAACACCCACCCUUCCUUUCCCUCUUCCCACCACAACUCCCUACUCCAGGUAGCUCCUACAUGAGUGCCCUGGAGGUUGGGGGCCUUGUAGGCAGCAUCGCAGCUGGCUACCUGUCAGACCGGGCCAUGGCAAAGGUGAGUGGGCAGACGGGACAGGAAGGAGGAGGGUCCCUUUAAACCUUCCCAGCGUGACUGGGACAGGCACCAGAGAGGCGGGAGCCCUGGGGCACGGGCAGGCUGGCAUAAGCCAGUUUAGGUUGGGGGAGGUUGGAAUGAUUCCAGGCUGCCGUUAUUCGCUGGGGGUGUGAAGGUUAAGACUCCUGGGGAAAAGGCUUUAAAUGAUGUCAAGGAGAGCUGGAAUGUCUCUCAGCCUGGCAGUGGGCUUCUCCACAGCCCCAGGAAAACUGGGGUUGAGGAGGAAGCAAGUGCAGCUUGCCAGCACAUGUCCCGACCCUGCCCCGUGGUGGAGGAAGGGAUGUUGUGGAGUUUGGCCUCUGAACACAACGAGCAGGUCCCGGGGCCUCCCAGAGCUGCCCGGGGCCAAGAGCUGUGGUGGGAUUGCCAAAGACCUGUCAGCAGAGGCCCUGCUGUAUCAGAGUCCAGGGGUGGAGGUUCUCUGCUGCUUUUAGGCCCUGACAUUGCUGGGACUGUAUCCACAGGCAGGCCUAUCCAUCUACGGGAACCCUCGCCAUGGCCUGUUGCUGCUCAUGAUGGCUGGCAUGACCGUGUCCAUGUACCUCUUCCGGGUCACUGUGACCAGUGACUCCUCCAAGGUAAAUAAGGAGGGCCUGGCCCACAGCAGGCACAAGGAUGAGAAAGCAAGGGCCGCCGACUCUCAGGCUUCCUCUCCCUGGCUCCACCCUGGCCCAGGCCUUUCUUUGCCUCUCAGAUCUCCCUUUCCAGGUCUGUCUUACCUCGUGUCCUCUUUGUACUUCGGUGCCCCUCCUGGACUCGGGACUUGGUUUCCUUUUCUUUCCUGUGCUCCUCUAGGAUGUUGCUUUCUGGACUCCAGCUCUUCACCCUCUCGCUGAGCUCACAGGCUUUACGGAGCACGAGGUGCCUUAUCUCUGGUUUUCUUCCUGGUUUGUCUUACCCUUGUCCUACUGUCUUCCUCGCCCCUAGCCAAUCCAGCUAGCAUGAGUUCUGAGAAGAGAUAGCAUCUAACUUGGAGGGACGGCUUCUGUACCUCCUUCACCUACCCACACAGGCCCUCGGGUUGGCUCGGUGUGGCACUCACUCCUCUAGCUCUGCCCUGUCCAUUGUAUCAGAAAGUGGGGUGAGGGAGGUCAUUUCCUGUGUCCUUAACUACAGUUAUUUGUUCUGUCCUCUGGCAGAGGUAGAUAGGUAGGUAGGCUCUCUCAAACUCUGAAUGCCACUCUGUGCUGCCCUUGCAGCUCUGGAUCCUGGUGUUGGGAGCCCUGUUCGGUUUCUCCUCCUACGGUCCCAUUGCCUUGUUCGGAGUUAUAGCCAAUGAGAGUGCUCCUCCCAACUUGUGCGGCACCUCCCAUGCCAUUGUGGGACUCAUGGCCAACGGUAAGCGGAGUCUCCACCUCACCCCUACUUGUGCCUCGCACUUAAGCCAGCUAUAGUCUGGGGCAGGCCCCGCCGGCCCUAGCCUCACAAAUGACCCAGACUCUUCCCCUCCUCCUUGGCAGUGGGCGGCUUUCUGGCUGGGCUGCCCUUCAGCACCAUUGCCAAGCACUAUAGCUGGAGCACGGCCUUCUGGGUGGCCGAAGUGAUCUGUGCAGUCAGCACAGUCGCCUUCUUUCUGCUACGAAACAUCCGCACCAAGAUGGGCCGAGUGCCCAAGAAGGCCGAGUGAAGACAGUACAGGCACCUGUGCAUCCUCUCCCACCUGUGGACCUUCCCCUGCACAGGGCUGGGGAGGUGCGGGGGCGGGGAGAAAGAAAGUGGGGCUGCUCCGGCUACCGAUGAACCUUGGAUCGCCUUUUUUGCUCCUUUUCCCUCGCCCAGGUGGCGCUGGAAGUUAUCAGUGGCUAAUGAGGUCCCAGCUCCCCAUCCUGUGCUCUAUUUAAAAGACAACUUUUGUUCUUGGACUUCAUUAGCUCCAAUUUCCUGCCUUCAAACAGGAAACCCCUACAGUGAGGGAGUCUCCAAUACCCUCUUCCUCUCCUGGACACUGCCCUACCCCCACCCCACCCCACCCCACCCCAUCCCCACAAGAGGUGAGGCUCCUCCUGUAGCUGCAGGGCACCAAUGGGCCAUGAUUUCUGCCCUAAGGCCUCUUAGCACACAGUGACUGUUCUUGCCAAUACCUCAAGAUUCCAGGCAGAGAGGAGGCCAUCACUCUCACCAAUACCCUGGGAACACGGGGGCCUGGGUGGGAGGGAGGAAGACUUGAUAAAGAGAUUAAAACUAGAUUUGAUACUAAACACAGUGAGCCAUUCUUUCAAAAGGGGUAUUACAGACCAGAGACAGUUUUCCUUGGAAAAUAUUCUCUUGCUACCUGCUCUUUCCACCCCAAACAGGACAGACUUCAUUUCCUUGGAAUGGGAGAUCUGACGUAUACUCCUUUUAGCUUAUGUCUCCUUUGCCUUCAACUUUACACUGUAUAAUUCAAUGAUCAUUUUAGAGAUGAAGCUACUGGGUUUCAGACAAAUUAAAUACUUUGAUGGAGGG